CACCCCCCAAGUGUAGCUUGGUAUUGGAUGUUCGCGGGCCCCCUUAUAGGGCUCGCGGGUCCGAAAAGCAGUGGCGGUCCCCGAGGAUUUCGCGCGUAGUAAAUAUUAUCCCGCGUUGGAAAGAAUCGGUGGGCUUGCCAAAACCCCUCAUAAUCUCCAUGAUUGACCUCGGAUCAGGUAGGGAUACCCGCUGAACUUAA
RNAcentral lists this unclassified non-coding RNA (200 nucleotides) under soil metagenome. Its description in RNAcentral is "partial contains internal transcribed spacer 2 and large subunit ribosomal RNA". The record is from RNAcentral.